GGAUCCGAAGUGUCAAUCCGGGACAUGACUUCGGACAUCUCUUCCUCCUGCGUGUCCGGCCAUGUCUCCCUCACUAUAGCACUCAUCACCUCGUCACUAGCUCCCCCACCUUCGCCUAAUUGGAUGGAAAAAAAUGAUUAAUUAACAUUUUGACAUAUAUAUAAGUAAAUUAAAAAAAAAAACGUAAAGAUGACUUACAAUAUCCUCCUGAGCGUCAGGAUAUGCCUUCUCGUACGUAUAGACGUACCGGUUGACUUCUGGAUGUUCCUUGGCCGCCUCGUCCAUGAAGACAACGAACGGUCUAGAACUGGCAUGAUGGUUCCUUGUGUUGUGUUGCCGGUUCUAAACGUUCGCCUGGGAAACGGCCUUCAAAGAAAAAAAUAAACUAUUAGUAAAAUAUUUAAAAACGGACGUACUUAAUGAAAAAUUAACUAAUUAAUUUUUUUAAAUUACCUGUUUACGAGGGUUGUUGAAUUCUGAUGUCAGAAGCCAACGCCACUCGUACUCCCUGUACUGGAACUCAGCAGGGGUACCAGAACGUGCGUUCCCGUGCGUAGUCCAGUGGGUCUGCAACUCGUUCUUCCACUCCUUGUACCAACAGAUACAACAAAAAUAUUAGAAAUAUUAUUAAUAUCACAUACAAUUUUGUUUUUUCAUUAACUUCCCAACGUAUCUUCCCCCAUGCACAACGUCCGCCCAGCUGUUCUUCAAGUGCUCGGGAACGUCAAACCACACCUGCAUUUAACCGUUUAUUAGUUUAGUUUUUCGAGAAAUCAACAAUGUAAUACAUAAUAUUAUUGAGGCAUUUUGUAAACUCACCGACAUCGUGUUGUGGACCAUGUCCUUAACCUCCUGCGGGACCUCGCCCUAGUCUGACCACAACAUAGGGACUCUAUCCCUAAUGAGCGCUCCCACGCGGCCAGAGUACGUCCUCGACUUCCCGCCCGAUACUAUGUGGCCAUCCCCGUCAGUAUCGAUGACGAUCCUCCCUGAGGUAUUGACGGUCUU
RNAcentral lists this long non-coding RNA (1008 nucleotides) under Fragaria vesca (wild strawberry). RNAcentral describes it as "long non-coding RNA (FVES_LNC004873)". The record is from RNAcentral. Lineage: Eukaryota; Viridiplantae; Streptophyta; Magnoliopsida; Rosales; Rosaceae.